GCGUGAGCGAAGAAGGCCUUAGGGUUGUAAAGCUCUUUCGCCCGCGACGAUAAUGACGGUAGCGGGAGAAGAAGCCCCGGCUAACUCCGUGCCAGCAGCCGCGGUAAUACGGAGGGGGCUAGCGUUGUCCGGAAUUACUGGGCGUAAAGCGCGCGUAGGUGGUCCACCAAGUCGGGGGUGAAAGCCCAGGGCUCAACCCUGGAAUUGCCUCCGAGACUGAUGGACUCGAGUUCGGGAGAGGAGAGCGGAAUUCCCAGUGUAGAGGUGAAAUUCGU
This 275-nucleotide ribosomal RNA is filed under the name uncultured bacterium. RNAcentral's name for it is "partial 16S ribosomal RNA". It matches the Rfam family "Bacterial small subunit ribosomal RNA", at positions 399 to 691 of the family's 1533-position model. The record is from RNAcentral.